AGUCCAUGAUGUGAGCACUUCUUUAGCAUUGUCUUGAAUAGUUCCUACGCCUCGUAUAAGGAUUCACCUUUAAAUUGUUUAAAAUUAGCGAUUUCUCGCCUCAAUU
This 106-nucleotide small nucleolar RNA is filed under the name Gossypium hirsutum (cotton). RNAcentral describes it as "Plant small nucleolar RNA R71". It matches the Rfam family "Plant small nucleolar RNA R71". From Rfam's summary of the family: R71 is a member of the C/D box family of snoRNAs containing the C (UGAUGA) and D (CUGA) box motifs. Multiple nearly identical copies of this snoRNA have been identified in Arabidopsis, and it is thought to function as a 2'-O-ribose methylation guide for 18S ribosomal RNA. The record is from Rfam by way of RNAcentral. Lineage: Eukaryota; Viridiplantae; Streptophyta; Magnoliopsida; Malvales; Malvaceae.